GACGAACGCUGGCGGCGUGCUUAACACAUGCAAGUCGAACGGUAAGGCCCUUCGGGGUACACGAGUGGCGAACGGGUGAGUAACACGUGGGUGAUCUGCCCUGCACUUCGGGAUAAGCCUGGGAAACUGGGUCUAAUACCGGAUAGGACCACUGCCUGCAUGGGUGGUGGUGGAAAGCUUUUGCGGUGUGGGAUGGGCCCGCGGCCUAUCAGCUUGUUGGUGGGGUGAUGGCCUACCAAGGCGACGACGGGUAGCCGGCCUGAGAGGGUGACCGGCCACACUGGGACGGAGAUACGGCCCAGACUCCUACGGGAGGCAGCAGUGGGGAAUAUUGCUCAAUGGGCGCAAGCCUGAUGCAGCGACGCCGCGUGAGGGAUGACGGCCUUCGGGUUGUAAACCUCUUUCAGCACCGACGAAGCGCAAGUGACGGUAGGAGCAGAAGAAGGACCGGCCAACUACGUGCCAGCAGCCGCAGUAA
RNAcentral lists this ribosomal RNA (478 nucleotides) under uncultured bacterium. Its description in RNAcentral is "partial 16S ribosomal RNA". It matches the Rfam family "Bacterial small subunit ribosomal RNA", at positions 28 to 523 of the family's 1533-position model. The record is from RNAcentral.